CCUACGCGCGGCAGCAGUGGGGAAUAUUGGACAAUGGGCGAAAGCCUGAUCCAGCCAUGCCGCGUGUGUGAAGAAGGCCUUCGGGUUGUAAAGCACUUUCAGUGGGGAAGAAAGCCUUGGGGCUAAUACCCUCGAGGAAGGACAUCACCCACAGAAGAAGCACCGGCUAACUCCGUGCCAGCAGCCGCGGUAAUACGGAGGGUGCGAGCGUUAAUCGGAAUUACUGGGCGUAAAGCGCGCGUAGGCGGUCUGAUAAGCCGGUUGUGAAAGCCCCGGGCUCAACCUGGGAACGGCAUCCGGAACUGUCAGGCUAGAGUGCAGGAGAGGAAGGUAGAAUUCCCGGUGUAGCGGUGAAAUGCGUAGAGAUCGGGAGGAAUACCAGUGGCGAAGGCGGCCUUCUGGACUGACACUGACGCUGAGGUGCGAAAGCGUGGGUAGCAAACAGGAUUAGAUACCCGUGUAGUC
RNAcentral lists this ribosomal RNA (465 nucleotides) under Vreelandella stevensii. Its description in RNAcentral is "partial 16S ribosomal RNA". It matches the Rfam family "Bacterial small subunit ribosomal RNA", at positions 338 to 795 of the family's 1533-position model. Lineage: Bacteria; Pseudomonadati; Pseudomonadota; Gammaproteobacteria; Oceanospirillales; Halomonadaceae. The record is from RNAcentral.